Molecule: long non-coding RNA, 1172 nt
Filed under: Setaria viridis
Lineage: Eukaryota; Viridiplantae; Streptophyta; Magnoliopsida; Poales; Poaceae
Description: long non-coding RNA (SVIR_LNC001726)
Source: RNAcentral
UAAAAUCUGGACUAUAUUUUAGGUGCAUAUUUUCCACCAGAGUCGGGUAGAUUUUGUUAUAAGAGAGAACGAAAUCUGGAUUCUACAAAUCUACUCCUCCGAACAUCCAAUUAAAAUCCUACCUAAAAUCUAGCUUUCGAUAACAACCCAAAAUUAAGGCCCUGUUUGGCAUGGCUCCAACUCCGGGUGGAGCUGCUCCACUCCAGAACUCCACAUGGAGCCAGCUCCGCUCCAAAACUCCAGAACAAAAAUGAGGUGUUUGGCUAGAUGGGUGCUCUCAGCUCCAAAAAAGAUCGAUUUCAGUGUGGAUUGCCAUUGUUGCCCCCCAAUUAAGGCCCCACUUGUCAUCCUCUCUAUCCCAUCUUCUUCUUCCCCUUUUUCCACUGCACUGUGCCGCACACGGGAGACCCUCCACGGGCGGCGGGGUGGGUAGCGACGGGGCGGCGGGUGGCGACGGGCGACGACGGACGGCGACAGGUGGCUGGGUGGGUGGCGACGGGCGACGACGAGCGGCGACGGGCGGUGGGCGGCGGCGACGGGCGACGGGUGCGGCGGGCGGCGGGCGGCGACGGGCGGUGGGCGGCGGUGACGGGCGACGGGCGCGGCAACGGGCGGCGGCGGGCGGCGACGGGCGACGGGCGGCGGCGGGCGGCGACGGGCGACGGGCGGCGGCGGGCGGCGACGGGCGACGGGUGGCGGCGGGCGACGGGCGGCGGGCGCGGCGACGGGCGGCAGCGGGCGGCGACGGGCGGCGGCGGGCGGCAACGGGCGGCGGGGCCGGCCGGCCACGGGGGUGGUGACAGGCAGGGCUUUGGCGGCGAGUGGGGCUCGGGAGAAUAGAAGGGAGAAUAGAAUGAAACGUUUUUUUGUGUAACCAGUGGUAUUGGUGGGUAAUUACCCACCAACUCCACGAGAAGGUUCAAAAGAGAGGUUUCUGGAGCAGCAAAAGAGGUGCUCCAAAACUCCACCUACAUUUGCACUACAGCUCCAUGGAGUUGGCAACUCCAUGGAGUUUUGGAGUUGGGAUGUUUGGCUGAAUUUUUUGAUGGAGUUGCUGGAGUUUAGGAGUGGAGCCGUGCCAAACAGGGCCUAAGUUCUUGAGAAUCUAAAAUCUAAUUCAAACGAGACUAAAAAAAAAUAUAAACGCAAUCCAACCAAUCCCCAUCCCCGAC